This is a long non-coding RNA of Oncorhynchus tshawytscha (Chinook salmon), 850 nucleotides long. The record is from Ensembl. Lineage: Eukaryota; Metazoa; Chordata; Actinopteri; Salmoniformes; Salmonidae.
AUGGAGGGUGUUGAUGGGGACUGGUGAUAUGUAAUGGAGGGUGUUGAUGACAAGGUAAAGCCAGCAUGGAGAACACUGUACAGGGGACUGGUGAUAUGUAAUGGAGGGUGUUGAUGGGGACUGGUGAUAUGUAAUGGAGGGUGUUGAUGGGGACUGGUGAUAUGUAAUGGGGAGUGUUGAUGGGGACUGGUGAUAUGUAAUGGAGGGUGUUGAUGGGGACUGGUGAUAUGUAAUGGAGGGUGUUGAUGGGGACUGGUGAUAUGUAAUGGGGGUGUUGAUGGGGACUGGUGAUAUGUAAUGGAGGGUGUUGAUGGGGGCUGGUGAUAUAUAAUGGGGGGUGUUGAUGACAAGGUAAAGCCAGCAUGGGGAACACUGUACAGGGGACUGGUGAUAUGUAAUGGGGGUGUUGAUGGGGACUGGUGAUAUGAAAUGGAGGGUGUUGAUGGGGACUGGUGAUAUACAAUGGAGGGUGUUGAUGACAAGGUAAAGCCAGCAUGGAGAACACUGUACAGGGGACUGGUGAUAUGUAAUGGGGGGGUGUUGAUGACAAGGUAAAGCCAGCAUAGAGAACACUGUACAGGGGACUGGUGAUAUGUAAUGGAGGGUGUUGAUGGGGACUGGUGAUAUGUAAUGGAGGGUGUUGAUGGGGGCUGGUGAUAUGUAAUGGGGGGUGUUGAUGACAAGGUAAAGCCAGCAUGGGGAACACUGUACAGGGGACUGGUGAUAUGUAAUGGAGGGUGUUGAUGGGGACUGGUGAUAUGUAAUGGAGGGUGUUGAUGGGGACUGGUGAUAUGUAAUGGAGGGUGUUGAUGGGGACUGGUGAUAUGUAAUGGAGGGUGUUGAUGACAAG